Molecule: transfer RNA, 70 nt
Filed under: Limnichthys fasciatus (barred sand burrower)
Lineage: Eukaryota; Metazoa; Chordata; Actinopteri; Acropomatiformes; Creediidae
Description: tRNA-Phe
Rfam family: tRNA
About the family: Transfer RNA (tRNA) molecules are approximately 80 nucleotides in length. Their secondary structure includes four short double-helical elements and three loops (D, anti-codon, and T loops).
Source: RNAcentral
GCAAGCGUAGCUUAAAAUCAAAGCAUAACAUUGAAGUCGUUAAGAUGGACCCUAGAAAGUCCUGCAAGCA